RNAcentral lists this transfer RNA (72 nucleotides) under Saurida nebulosa (clouded lizardfish). RNAcentral's name for it is "tRNA-Asp". The record is from RNAcentral. Lineage: Eukaryota; Metazoa; Chordata; Actinopteri; Aulopiformes; Synodontidae.
AAGACACUAGUAAAACUUAUAUUACCCUCCCUUGUCAAGGGAGCAUUGCGGGUGGAACUCCCGCGUGCCUUG